Molecule: transfer RNA, 73 nt
Filed under: Haliotis rufescens (red abalone)
Lineage: Eukaryota; Metazoa; Mollusca; Gastropoda; Lepetellida; Haliotidae
Description: tRNA-Leu
Rfam family: tRNA
About the family: Transfer RNA (tRNA) molecules are approximately 80 nucleotides in length.
Source: RNAcentral
GGUAGCGUGGCCGAGUGGUCUCAGGCGCUGGGUUUAGGCUCCGGAGGCGUGGGUUCGAAUCCCACCGCUGCCA